This 528-nucleotide long non-coding RNA is filed under the name Panax ginseng (ginseng). Its description in RNAcentral is "long non-coding RNA (PGIN_LNC012675)". The record is from RNAcentral. Lineage: Eukaryota; Viridiplantae; Streptophyta; Magnoliopsida; Apiales; Araliaceae.
UCUAACAGAAAAUUCGAAUGAAAAUGUUUGAUCGAGAGUGAAAGACAGAGGUUCUAAUGAAAAUGUACUGCUUGACGGAGAGUGAAGAGAGAGAGAGAGAGAUUCUAGAGAGAAUGUAUUGCCUGACGAAGACCGACGAAAUUGGGAGAGAGAGAGAGAACAAUAGUUAAACAUAGAGAGAAAAUGGUAAUUACAUAUAGAGAUAGAAUCUAAAUAAAAUGUAUUUCCUAAGGAGAGUGAAGAGGGAGAUGGAAGGAUUCUAAAGAAAAUGUAAGCGGAGAGUGUAAAGAGAUAAAUUCUAAGGAAAACGUAUCGCCUAAAGGAGAGUGAAGAGGUUGAGAAAGAGAGGUUAAUUCUAAAGAAAAUAUAUUGUUCCGCUGAAGAGCGAAGAGAGAAAUUCUAAAGAAAUUAUAUCGUCCGAUCGAGAGUGAAGAGAGGGAGAGAAAGAACGAUAACUAACGAUAGAGAGAGAACAGUAAUUAAAGAUAGAGAGAGGAACUAAAGAAAUUGUAUUGCGCCUCUGAUGGA